AAUGAACGCUGGCGGCAGGCCUAAUACAUGCAAGUCGAGCGAGCGGCGGACGGGUGAGUAAUGUGUGGGAAACCGCCUGAUGGAGGGGGAUAACUACUGGAAACGGUAGCUUAUACCCCAUAUCAUCAGAUGUGCCCAGUUGGGAUUCGCUAGAGGGGGGGGUAACGGCUCACAAAGGCGACGAUCCCUAGCUGGCCUGAGAGGAUGACCAGCCACACUGGAACUGAGACACGGUCCAGACUCCUACGGGAGGCAGCAGUGGGGAAUAUUGCGCAAUGGGCGCAAGCCUGAUGCAGCCAUGCCGCGUGUGUGAAGAAGGCCUUCGGAUUGUAAAGCACUGUAAGUUGGGAGGCGUUACCAACAGAAUAAGCACCGGCUAACUUCGUGCCAGCAGCCGCGGUAAUUC
RNAcentral lists this ribosomal RNA (406 nucleotides) under uncultured bacterium. RNAcentral describes it as "partial 16S ribosomal RNA". It matches the Rfam family "Bacterial small subunit ribosomal RNA", at positions 29 to 526 of the family's 1533-position model. The record is from RNAcentral.